This 529-nucleotide ribosomal RNA is filed under the name uncultured bacterium. RNAcentral describes it as "bacterial SSU rRNA". It matches the Rfam family "Bacterial small subunit ribosomal RNA", at positions 777 to 1304 of the family's 1533-position model. The record is from RNAcentral.
AAUAGAUACCCGGGUAGUCCACGCCGUAAACGAUGAAUGCUAGGUGUUAGGGGUUUCGAUACCCUUGGUGCCGAAGUUAACACAUUAAGCAUUCCGCCUGGGGAGUACGGUCGCAAGACUGAAACUCAAAGGAAUUGACGGGGACCCGCACAAGCAGUGGAGUAUGUGGUUUAAUUCGAAGCAACGCGAAGAACCUUACCAGGUCUUGACAUCCCUCUGAUCGGUCUAGAGAUAGGCUUUUCCUUCGGGACAGAGGAGACAGGUGGUGCAUGGUUGUCGUCAGCUCGUGUCGUGAGAUGUUGGGUUAAGUCCCGCAACGAGCGCAACCCUUGAUCUUAGUUGCCAGCAUUUCGGAUGGGCACUCUAAGGUGACUGCCGGUGACAAACCGGAGGAAGGUGGGGAUGACGUCAAAUCAUCAUGCCCCUUAUGACCUGGGCUACACACGUACUACAAUGGCCAGUACAACGGGAAGCGAACUCGCGAGAGGGAGCCAAUCCUAGCAAAGCUGGUCUCAGUUCGGAUUGCAGG